CUGCUGGUUAAGUGCGGUCUGUACAGGGUCCAAAGCCUCCGCGCCCGCAGACUCCAUAUCUGACGCGCUCAUUUGUCAGGAAAUGUCAAUAAAGUUCAGGAAUCAGAGUCUCAAAUGCGGGAUCAAAAAGUUUAUUAAAUGAAAAUAACACUGAUACUGUAGGGAUACGCUUGAAGACGAAGCACCCGACUGAUUUCAGAUAGACAGAAAAUAUAAAUCCACACUAGUCCACAAUCCACAGGGGAAAGAGUCUCUCACACUGCACCGCCGAAGAAGUCCAAUAGUGACGAGGAGGUCCACCCACUUCCGAUGACGUCACACAUUAGGAAGCCGAAGACAGCUGGUAUACGCUUGAAGACGAAGCAACCAACUGCGCGAAAACUCAGGAAACUAGACAGUAAUCCACUGACAAAACACACAGGAUCGAGAAUCCUGGACAGAGACAAGAGUCCGGAUGUCGGCGAUUGAACCUGGGGCGAGAGCAGAGAUGGUGAGAUAAAUAACAGCGGACGGCUCUACCUGGACAGGGAGCGAGACAGUAACCAACCGAGAACAAUGAGCGCGUGACAAAGGACAAAACGCAAGACUAUAAAAAGACCAAAAGGAAUAGGACACGUCUGGGAAACAAUCAGAGAAACGAAUGGGAGGAGCGAGUGCACACGUGAGGAACCAACACCAAAGAAUCCUCUCUGCCUCCGUUGCUAUGGAAUCUGAGCCAGUCCUCUUUGCUAUUGGGUGAUUUCUUCUUCGGUACUCGUAAUUGACAGGGAUUCUCUCAUACGCGAAAAUCAUUGUCCAGGUAAGUCACGAUGCUUUCGUUUAAAGUUCACUAUUUGUUUAAAUGUUAUAAUUCACGCCUUUCUUUUGGCAUUAGGGUGACAUUGCCAUACCCGUACGAAAAUUAACCAUGUUUUUGUGGUAAAAGUGUAGUAACUACGGUUUGUGUAUCGAUUAUUUGCAAAAUGGUUUUACUAAACCAAACAUGGUUUAACUUUUUUUUUUCAAAUUCAUGGUUCUUUCUUAACUUGCAACCUAUCUCUAUAUACUGCAUCUGUUGUACCUGUCUGUCCAGCUGUGUGUUUGUCUUUCUGUCUUUGUCUGCUUUGCAAUGGCCACCAGAUAUACCCAUCACAAACAGGAUCCCCACUACCAAGAGGGGAGGCUCAUGGCUCUUGAGCUGAACCAUGACCACAUUCUAGCUGAAGCCAAGAGAGCAGCUGUGGAGACGAAACGUUUAUGCCCUAGAAGAGACCCUUCACAGACCUCUAAAAGGAUCUUUGUUGGCUGGGGCAAGCCGAGGGGGAGGCAAGGAGGGUGACGCCAAGCCUCAGCUACAGGUCACUUUUACAGGUUGAGUGCUUCCUGUCAUCCAGUGUGGAGAUUUCACCUAACUGUACCCUCAGCAAAACUAAAUCCUCAUGAGGAAUUUGGUGCAGAGAGUGGUUCUGUGGGGGGACCGUGAUGUAUUACGUCACAAAAAACAGCCACUCCCCAAUAGGGAAUGUGUAAUUAAUAGGUUUUUUGUAGCCAUCCGUCCAACCAAAUGCAUCAUUAAAGGGGAAGAUGGAUAUUGCACUCAACACAAGGGUGUUUUGACUUGCAUUAGCCACUAUAUGUCUGUUAAACAUGCAAACAGCAAAGGACCCCAGACCUGAAAGACCUUCUGAGGAGUGGAUAUUGGCCAGCUUCAAUAAACAACACCACACUUUACACAUUGGACCUCCUGAUCUCCUUUCAAGAACUCAAGGUCAUCUCUCCAAGCUUCUCCAGACAAGCCUUCGCAAAGCUGCUGGAGCAUCGCACGAAGUGUGGAGGAAGAUUUGGAUAUAUCAAUGGCGAUGCACUGCAACGCAGCUUCUUGGAGUUUUCAUAUGCUUCAUUUGAAGCAGGCCAGCUCUGCUGUGGUGCUCCUUUCACCUGCCAAGCCUGGACGCUAGAAUUGUUGGCUGCUUCAGCAGAUGGAAACAGAAAGCUAUAUCGCUUUUGCCCAAACAGAAGCUCUGGUGAUCCUGUUUUUUGUGGCUGAAGACAGUGCGGUGUCUAGAUUUGUCAACACCAUCCAAAAAGCACUGAAAAUGCAA
Molecule: non-coding RNA, 2081 nt
Organism: Misgurnus anguillicaudatus (oriental weatherfish)
Lineage: Eukaryota; Metazoa; Chordata; Actinopteri; Cypriniformes; Cobitidae
Source: RefSeq, a predicted model, not a curated record